Molecule: long non-coding RNA, 430 nt
Organism: Hyaena hyaena (striped hyena)
Lineage: Eukaryota; Metazoa; Chordata; Mammalia; Carnivora; Hyaenidae
Exons: 4
Source: RefSeq, a predicted model, not a curated record
UGGAGUGUGUCACCUGCCCUCACACCAUGUUAAGAAACACAAGGACACCUGCCAUGUGGGGAGACCAACAUACCUGAGAAUUCUACACUAAAUGGGUCAUGAGAGCUCCUCCCUCAUAAAGUUGGGUCAGGAUUAAAGGAGAUUAUUUAUUAGGCAAAUUCAAGACAGAAGGUGAUUUUCAAGGUGAUUUUGGCCUGCAAGAAAAAGUCUCAGGAAUAAGAGAAGACAUUGGAUGAUCCUUUGUUGGAAUUUUGUGUGUAUUAGAUUCUUUUGUCUGGGAUAACUUAUAAGAGAGCCUCUGAGAGAGAUUAUGUAGCUGGAAAACAAGACCAAGUGUGGAAGAGAUAUUUUUCAUCUCUACAAGAAAGUGGCAUGGUUGGAACAGUCUGCACACCGUUGCAGGUAACCCAAGGCACAAAUUCUCUUCCUU